Molecule: transfer RNA, 77 nt
Filed under: Coprobacillus cateniformis
Lineage: Bacteria; Bacillati; Bacillota; Erysipelotrichia; Erysipelotrichales; Coprobacillaceae
Description: tRNA-Glu
Rfam family: tRNA
About the family: Transfer RNA (tRNA) molecules are approximately 80 nucleotides in length. Their secondary structure includes four short double-helical elements and three loops (D, anti-codon, and T loops). Further hydrogen bonds mediate the characteristic L-shaped molecular structure. tRNAs have two regions of fundamental functional importance: the anti-codon, which is responsible for specific mRNA codon recognition, and the 3' end, to which the tRNAs corresponding amino acid is attached (by aminoacyl-tRNA synthetases). tRNAs cope with the degeneracy of the genetic code in two manners: having more than one tRNA (with a specific anti-codon) for a particular amino acid; and 'wobble' base-pairing, i.e. permitting non-standard base-pairing at the 3rd anti-codon position.
Source: RNAcentral
GUCCGAGUAGGCAAGUGGUUUAAGCCCCCUGACUUUCUAUCAGGUAAUCGUGGGUUCGAAUCCCACCUCGGAUACCA